CAAUAGCGUAUAUUAAAGUUGUUGCAGUUAAAAAGCUCGUAGUUGGAUCUCGGGUCCAGGCUUGCGGUCCGCCUCGCGGCGGUUACUGCUCGUCCUGACCUACCUCCCGGUUUUCCCUUGGUGCUCUUGACUGAGUGUCUCGGGUGGCCGGAACGUUUACUUUGAAAAAAUUAGAGUGUUCAAGGCAGGCACUUCGCCUGAAUAAUGGUGCAUGGAAUAAUGGAAUAGGACCUCGGUUCUAUUUUGUUGGUUUUCGGAACUUGAGGUAAUGAUUAAGAGGGACGGAUGGGGGCAUUCGUAUUACGGUGUUAGAGGUGAAAUUCUUGGAUCGCCGUAAGACGAACGACUGCGAAAGCAUUUGCCAAAAAUGUUUUCAUUAGUCAAGAACGAAAGUCAGAGGUU
This 402-nucleotide ribosomal RNA is filed under the name Annelida sp. MM01405. Its description in RNAcentral is "SSU rRNA". It matches the Rfam family "Eukaryotic small subunit ribosomal RNA", at positions 592 to 998 of the family's 1831-position model. Lineage: Eukaryota; Metazoa; Annelida. The record is from RNAcentral.